GCGCAGCAGGCGAGAAACCUCCGCAAUACACGAAAGUGUGACGGGGCCAUCCCGAGUGCCGUCCGCUGAGGACGGCUUUUCCCCAGUGUACACAGCUGGGGGAAUAAGGAGAGGGCAAGCCUGGUGUCAGCCGCCGCGGUAAUACCAGCUCUCCGAGUGGUGGGGACGCUUAUUGGGCCUAAAGCAUCCGUAGCCGGCUGGGCAAGUCCUCCGCUAAAUCCAACGAUUCAAUCGUUGGGCUGCGGGGGAUACUGUCCAGCUUGGGGGCGGGAGAGGCCGACGGUAUUCCCGGGGUAGGGGUGAAAUCCUAUAAUCCCGGGAGGACCACCAGUGGCGAAGGCUGUCGGCUAGAACGCGCCCGACGGUGAGGGAUGAAAGCUGGGGGAGCGAACCGGAUUAGAUACCCGCGUAGUCCCUGG
RNAcentral lists this ribosomal RNA (419 nucleotides) under uncultured microorganism. Its description in RNAcentral is "bacterial SSU rRNA". It matches the Rfam family "Archaeal small subunit ribosomal RNA", at positions 330 to 751 of the family's 1478-position model. The record is from RNAcentral.